This is a long non-coding RNA of Herpailurus yagouaroundi (jaguarundi), 1063 nucleotides long. RefSeq lists it as uncharacterized. The record is from RefSeq and is a predicted model, not a curated record. Lineage: Eukaryota; Metazoa; Chordata; Mammalia; Carnivora; Felidae. The transcript has 4 exons.
CUGAAAAUGGCCAUUUUCUGCAACAAGGUUUUGCAUCCUGGGAACAGAAAUGGAAAUGAACGGAUGGUCAGGGUGAAACGUUGCUGGACCCGCAGACACGGAGAAAGGCAGAGUGGCAAGGGAGUCCCCGGUGUCAGCAAGAGCCAUGGAAAAUGCCAAGUGUUGCACCAUUGAGCACAACUGGCAUUCACACGUGGCUGGCGGGAGUGUUACGUUGGUUCAAUCACUUUGGAGAAAACUGGCAGGAUCAACUAACUAGCGGAAGGUCUAGCCUAUACCCAGGCUGUUCCGCUGAUAUGUUUAUACCCAACAGAAAUAUGCUCACCAACAGGCUUGGCCUGGAGCUCUCCAGAUGCCCGAGAGUACUCGAAUGGAUACCCACGUGGUGGGUUCUGCCUCCCACAUGUUCACAUCCUGUGAAUAUGUUGCAUUACAUAGCAAAGGGGGAUUAGGCAGGAAAUGGGAUUAACAGGUGAACCAUCUGACAUUAAAGAGAUUAUCCUGGAUUAUCGGGGUGGGUCAAAUGUAUCACAAAUUUCCUUAAAUGAGGAAGAGGGGGACAGAAGGGUCAGAGACAGUGGUAAGAGAAAGACUCCACCAGUCUAUACUGGCUUUGGAGACGGAAGGAGCCGUGAGCCCAGGAAUGCGGGCGGCUGCUGGAAGCCGAGAAGCAAGAAUGAGAAACUAACACGCGGAAUAUUCAUACGGUGGAAUACUACACAGCAAUGAGGACGGAGGAUUUGCAAUUACAUGUAACAAUAUGGCUGAGAACAUGCUGUAUGAUUUAAUUUAUCUCUGAAAGGAAGGAAACCAACAUCUGAGCACCCACUGCCUCUCAGGAAUUUUAUAUGCCGUAUCACAUUUAAUCAUUACGGUCCGUGAUCCCAUCUCCAUAUUCUCUGCCCACUGCCACCCAGGCUUUCAGAUCCCAGAGCUUGCAGAUGCCCUCUGGCCUCAGGGCUUCGUCCGGAAUUCUCCCACCCCCAGACUCCCACCCAGAUGCACUACUCUUCAUCUGAUGGCAGGUUGGGCGUCAUCUCACGGAAGUCUUCUUGGGCUCCCA